CUACAAACCCAAACUCCUACCUAAUUUUUGACAAAAUAUCGCCUCCAGACCGAUUCGACUUCUUCUUCCUUCUCAUUGAAAAAUCAAUCAUAAAUCACUAUGUUAUCUUCUCCACCGAUUCACCUGCGUAGAGUCUCAUUUCCACCCCUAUCACUCAUAAAGACCCAACCGUUAUUGCAUUAACACAAAGCUAAUCAACUCUUCCAAUUCUCACACCUAAAAACGUUAUAUAUAUAGCUCUUUUACGGUGCUCUCAUUCACCAAGAAGCUACCUUCAUCAGUUUGCAACUCUUGACUAAUGCUUCUUCAUUAGGCCAAGAUCUCAUACAUUUAUCCUUUUGCUCCCUUCUUUGCUCGACAAUCUUUCGCAAGGUGGAUUAUCUAUGUGACCAAGGAGCCACCGAAGUGAGCAGGAUGUAGCAAAGCGGCUGCAACUGAUCCAAACAAACCAAAAAGGCCAGCCGGGGCCUUCUUCUUUUUCAUGUAAUAAUCGCCUGCAAAUUCUUCUUUUAUUUUGUGUUCAGUAGUUUCCAUGGGUUAAAUUUUUUUAUUUAAAAAAGUUCUUCCUCUGGCUACUGUGAAAUCUAAUACAGGUUAGAUGGUUCGAAUCCUUUCUGUUAUUUUGAUGUCAAAAGUAUUUGACAAUGGUUAUAUGAACUUAUAAAUCUGUUGCCAUUAUUCCUCUUUUUAAUUUGAUUGUAAUGUAUUUUUUGUUGGUUUUCUAUUAUUUGUAUGGACAUACAAGUUGCAAAAGCUGCUGGAGAUAAGUGGAAAUUCUUGACAAAUGGGUGAGGAGAAAUAACUUCAUGUUGCCAAGGCUGAAAAUCACAAGUUUGACUACGAGAAGAACAUUGAGACCGUACAACAAGAAAUUGAAGAAAUAUCCAAAGGAAGAUGAGGGAUCUGAAAAAUCAGUUCCAGAGGUUAGGAUGAAAGAGAAAGGGUGCAAGAGCAUAAAAACUACACGCUACACAAACCUCUUGAAGCUAAGGACAUUGCAGCUAAGAAAGCUCAGAGAAAUUCUGAGUAUUUAAGGGAGAAAGAGAAGAAAACGGUAUCAGCGAAAGGCUACAAUUGUUUAAGAAAUAUGUGAAGCAAUGAAAUUGAGCAAGGAAUCGUCUGGUGAUGGUGGCAGAAGCUGCUCAUUACGCCGAAGUGGCUACUCAUAAAACAGAUGUGGUUGGGUAGAUAGUGCAAGGGACAAACUCGAUUGCAGGGACGGUGGAAGGUGCAGUGGGAUAUGCAGGGCAUAAGGUGGCUAUAAGAAUGUGGAGUUGAUUAAAAAUAAAUCAGCAGCGGCUGCUAAUAUGGUGGUUGGAUACACAGUGAGCCAGAAAGAGAAAGCUCAACACAAAUGCCAAGAAAUGCACCAGGUACUACUCCGCUUACGUCAAAGAUCUUGAUUUAGCUCAUUCAAGUAUCAUAAUGUUGUUACGUGGUUCUCAAGAAACUGUUUUUAGAUUUGUUGAGUGGGGGUGAGGAAGAGAAGCUACCAGGGUUUGUCACCGAAUCAAGAAGAUGCUAUGGACCGAUGUAAGAGAAAUUAGAAGUAAGGAAAUUGUAUUCGGAUAUGGACCAAAAGGGUUCGGGUAUGAAGAAAGAUGUUUAAAUAUCAAAUGGAAUGUUUUUUCAAUUGUUUUUGCUUAUAAGGGUCCUUUAUCUAAAUAGCAUGAGACUAUGCUUCAGAAUAAUUCCCUUCUAAAUAAAAACCGCUCUUUUUCUAUUAAAUGGGUUGAAGUAUGUAACUGGUUAAGGUUUAUCAAUCUAA
Long non-coding RNA from Brassica napus (rape), 1768 nucleotides. RefSeq lists it as uncharacterized. NCBI's taxonomy places the organism in Eukaryota, Viridiplantae, Streptophyta, Magnoliopsida, Brassicales, Brassicaceae. The transcript is spliced from 5 exons. The record is from RefSeq and is a predicted model, not a curated record.